CUCCUACGGGGGCAGGCAGUGGGGAAUAUUGGACAAUGGGCGAAAGCCUGAUCCAGCAAUGCCGCGUGUGUGAAGAAGGUCUUCGGAUUGUAAAGCACUUUCGACGGGGACGAUGAUGACGGUACCCGUAGAAGAAGCCCGGCUAACUUCGUGCCAGCCGCCGCGGUAAUAC
This 172-nucleotide ribosomal RNA is filed under the name uncultured bacterium. RNAcentral's name for it is "partial 16S ribosomal RNA". It matches the Rfam family "Bacterial small subunit ribosomal RNA", at positions 336 to 526 of the family's 1533-position model. The record is from RNAcentral.